GGUGCGGGGCGCCGCCGUCUCGACCCCUUCGGCUGCGAACAGCUGAUCCAGAGAGGCCGGCGCUGAGGGAGAGCCCGGCCGAUUCCCCGCCGCCGCAGGGCGUCCGGGGUCUAGAGCUAUUUAAUACUUCAGACUGUGUUCUGAUACUUCUGGAAAAAAAGUAUGUAGGAUCGCCCUUUAUUUUACUUCUUAAGUUGCAAUCUUAAAAUUGACUGAAUAUGUAAGUUUCUGUUAUCAUUUUUGAUGGAAAGGAGUAAUUUUUGGGGAGAGACAAACCUAUGAAAAUUUAUCAGAACAGUUAAAUUUUUCUCUUUUUCAUAAGUUAAAACAGCUAAAACACAUGGUAAAUUUAGUUAAUAAAAAAUAAUUAUAAUGGGCAUGACAAUCCAAAGAGAGUAGUUACAAAAAAAAAAAAAAAAAGAAAA
Panthera uncia (snow leopard) is the source of this 425-nucleotide long non-coding RNA. RefSeq lists it as uncharacterized. Lineage: Eukaryota; Metazoa; Chordata; Mammalia; Carnivora; Felidae. The record is from RefSeq and is a predicted model, not a curated record. The transcript has 2 exons.